UGGACCAAAAACUAAAAAACAGACACACACACAAACUCCUUACACUUGACCUUCAAAACCUGCCAAAUACGCUUAGCAAAAGCACAAAGGCCCCAUUCUGGCACUGACCUAUUGCAUCCCCAGCCCCAGACUCCACCUUGCCAGGAGCAGGCUGAGGUGGUGCUGGGCUGCUGUUCUUCACAGGCUCAGUACUUGUCCCUGAGGUAGUUUCUUUUCGAGAAGUUUUGGAUGGAGGUGGCUCUUCGACUACAACACCACUUUGUCGCUGACGUCGCCGUUUCUUACUCCACAACUCAUGGCAAUCCUGCCAGUGGGGGAGGCU
Molecule: long non-coding RNA, 322 nt
Filed under: Homo sapiens (human)
Lineage: Eukaryota; Metazoa; Chordata; Mammalia; Primates; Hominidae
Description: non-protein coding lnc-MED1-3:1
Source: RNAcentral